AGAGUUUGAUCCUGGCUCAGGAUGAACGCUGGCGGCGUGCCUAACACAUGCAAGUCGAGCGAUUUACUUCGGUAAAGAGCGGCGGACGGGUGAGUAACGCGUGGGUAACCUGCCUCAUAUACAUGGAUAACAUACCGAAAGGUAUGCUAAUACAAGAUGAUAUAAGAGAUUCGCAUGGAUUUCUUAUCAAAGCUCCGGCGGUAUGAGAUGGACCCGCGUCUGAUUAGCUAGUUGGUAAAGUAACGGCUUACCAAGGCGACGAUCAGUAGCCGACCUGAGAGGGUGAUCGGCCACAUUGGAACUGAGACACGGUCCAAACUCCUACGGGAGGCAGCAGUGGGGAAUAUUGCACAAUGGGCGAAAGCCUGAUGCAGCAACGCCGCGUGAGCGAUGAAGGCCUUCGGGUCGUAAAGCUCUGUCCUCAAGGAAGAUAAUGACGGUACUUGAGGAGGAAGCCCCGGCUAACUACGUGCCAGCAGCCGCGGUAAUACGUAGGGGGCUAGCGUUAUCCGGAUUUACUGGGCGUAAAGGGUGCGUAGGUGGUUUCUUAAGUCAGGAGUGAAAGGCUACGGCUUAACCGUAGUAAGCUCUUGAAACUGGGAAACUUGAGUGCAGGAGAGGAAAGUGGAAUUCCUAGUGUAGCGGUGAAAUGCGUAGAUAUUAGGAGGAACACCAGUAGCGAAGGCGGCUUUCUGGACUGUAACUGACACUGAGGCACGAAAGCGUGGGGAGCAAACAGGAUUAGAUACCCUGGUAGUCCACGCCGUAAACGAUGAGUACUAUGUGUCGGGGGUUACCCCCCUCGGUGCCGCAGCUAACGCAUUAAGUACUCCGCCUGGGGAGUACGCUCGCAGAGUGAAACUCAAGGAAUUGACGGGGACCCG
Molecule: ribosomal RNA, 884 nt
Filed under: uncultured Clostridium sp.
Lineage: Bacteria; Bacillati; Bacillota; Clostridia; Eubacteriales; Clostridiaceae
Description: bacterial SSU rRNA
Rfam family: Bacterial small subunit ribosomal RNA
Source: RNAcentral